Mastomys coucha (southern multimammate mouse) is the source of this 284-nucleotide long non-coding RNA. RefSeq lists it as uncharacterized. The record is from RefSeq and is a predicted model, not a curated record. Lineage: Eukaryota; Metazoa; Chordata; Mammalia; Rodentia; Muridae. The transcript has 2 exons.
CUAGGUUGUAUGCCAACCACUAGCCGAGCAUGUCCAGUUUCAGCAACCCCUCUCUGUGUGUGGCUCAGCUUCUACAGAGACCAGCCCCAUGUGUGUGAGCGACACGGGACAGAGAGGUCAAAGGGCAAUUCUCUGAAGAAGCUGGUUCUGUUCUGUUAUCACGUGGAGUCCAGGGAUAGAACGUGGUCCUCAGGCCUUCGAUCAAGCAAGCACCUUUACUCAAGGAGCCAUUCUGCCAGCCCUCCAAGUUUUCAAUGUGUUAUAAUUUGAAUAUGAUUUUUUCU